CCUACGGGGUGCUGCAGUGGGGAAUAUUGGACAAUGGGCGAAAGCCUGAUCCAGCCAUGCCGCGUGUGUGAAGAAGGCCUUCGGGUUGUAAAGCACUUUCAGUGGGGAAGAAAGCCUUGGGGCUAAUACCCUCGAGGAAGGACAUCACCCACAGAAGAAGCACCGGCUAACUCCGUGCCAGCAGCCGCGGUAAUACGGAGGGUGCGAGCGUUAAUCGGAAUUACUGGGCGUAAAGCGCGCGUAGGCGGUCUGAUAAGCCGGUUGUGAAAGCCCCGGGCUCAACCUGGGAACGGCAUCCGGAACUGUCAGGCUAGAGUGCAGGAGAGGAAGGUAGAAUUCCCGGUGUAGCGGUGAAAUGCGUAGAGAUCGGGAGGAAUACCAGUGGCGAAGGCGGCCUUCUGGACUGACACUGACGCUGAGGUGCGAAAGCGUGGGUAGCAAACAGGAUUAGAUACCCGUGUAGU
This 464-nucleotide ribosomal RNA is filed under the name Vreelandella stevensii. RNAcentral's name for it is "partial 16S ribosomal RNA". It matches the Rfam family "Bacterial small subunit ribosomal RNA", at positions 338 to 794 of the family's 1533-position model. The record is from RNAcentral. Lineage: Bacteria; Pseudomonadati; Pseudomonadota; Gammaproteobacteria; Oceanospirillales; Halomonadaceae.